AUAUUAAAAGAUAAUCCCACUGAAAUCCAACUGCAGAUGAUUGAAAAAAUUAAACGCUAUAAGGAACCACAGCAGGUAACAACUUCAGACAAAGUAUGCCAUGUCUGUU
Melitaea cinxia (Glanville fritillary) is the source of this 109-nucleotide long non-coding RNA. RefSeq lists it as uncharacterized. The record is from RefSeq and is a predicted model, not a curated record. Lineage: Eukaryota; Metazoa; Arthropoda; Insecta; Lepidoptera; Nymphalidae. The transcript is spliced from 2 exons.